Molecule: long non-coding RNA, 1758 nt
Organism: Pyrus x bretschneideri (Chinese white pear)
Lineage: Eukaryota; Viridiplantae; Streptophyta; Magnoliopsida; Rosales; Rosaceae
Exons: 10
Source: RefSeq, a predicted model, not a curated record
CGUGGCUACGGGCACAAUGGCCUUGAAACUUGGGUUGGUUUGAUCUGGGUUUUCAAGUACUGCAGGGAAGUGUUGGCUGCUGCUGCUCCGCUCCCUCAACGCUCAUUUUUUACACAUCGCAUCGUCGAUCCGAUCCCGGCUCCAAUCCGCCAAACAGGAGAUCCGGUUUUUCGGGUUUCUGACGUUUCUUUGCAGCCUGCGAAGGCCUCUGUAUUUAAGCUGAAAUAGCUAAAGUUGAGAAUGUUGGAUCUGUUGCCUUAGGGAAGAAAUUUUAAACCUACAAAAGCUUGGUUUUCAGGAAAUCGCCAAUCCUGCAGACACUUUGGGUUUCCUGCUUUCUCACCAGAGAUCUCCGCCAUCACUGCUCCACCAAACUCGCUGAUAGCGUCCACUCUCUCAAACCAGAUCUUUGAGAGGACACCCAUCAUUUGGCUGAUUGCAUAGGAUUGCUACAUCUGAACACUGUACAGGCCUCUUGAAUUUUGAAUUGUGAUUGAAAAUUGGAGUCCGCACAUGGAGUAUAGGAGGUGCGGCUUUUCGUAUUUUUGGCCUUUUUUAUCAGCUGUUGUAACAUUUUUGUAAUAGAGGAUUUUGGGUCUUUGAAAUGGUUACGUGUUGUUUUUAACUUUUUGGUUCUCCUGUGUUUUGUUCUUCAUUGCUUCGUGAUUCUCAUUUUUCAGUAUUGGGUAAUGGAAAUUUGUAAAAAUAGUCGUAGUUUUUUUUUAGAAAGUUGGCAUUUUUAGUUAUAUUUUAUGUUUAAUCCCAAUUGUAAGACUGGAAAAUAAUUGAAAUGAUGGUUUAUUAAAAACUCCUCUUAAUUUUUAUUUUCUUCUGGGAUUUAAAAGCAUCUUUUCCCGAUUGGUUACAAGGGUUAUGUUCUCUAUAAUUGGUUCACCAUGUUUGAUUAGUUUUAAGUUUUGUCCUGCUAAGUUUUGUCUUCUGUGUAAUGAGAUAUUUCUUUUGGUCUUUCAGAUUUCGGCAUGGGAAAGCUCACUUAUUUGUCUAAUUAGAUUGUGUGCUUCUGGGGAUGUUGGAGCUGGGAAAUCAAGUUUGGUGUUGCGCUUUGUAAAAGAACAAUUCGUUGAAUUUCAGAGUAGAACUAUAGAAAUAUUUGGUGAAAGCAAUGAAGAAAUAUAUGCAGACUUUGAUCAAAAGCCAGGACUGGACGGUUGAUUUUGGGAACGUGUUCGAUGUGAUUCUAGAAGGGGUAGUGAAUGCGAAUUUGAAGCUAGAUAAGAUGGUCAAGAAGGUGUUUGCCUUGACCACAUACAAACACUUCUUGACAGGCAGCAACUUCAGCUUCUGGGGGGAGAUUAAGAUGUCUCCCUUUGUUCUUCUAGUUUAUGCUACUACUUUCACUUCUCCAAAGCUCUCCUUUCUUUGAGUUCUGAUGAGACUAAGAGAAAGUAUAUAUAGGGGUAUAUGUGUUGCUAAUAAGUGUGUGUGUGUGUGUACAUGUAAUUGAUACUUUUGUAGAGAAGAGCAAAGUGAGUGACAAGAACUAAAAAAGUGGGAUUGGAAAAUAGUAGGCUUAUAACGUUCAAAUUCUAACAGUCACUUUGAGUGGAGGCAAUAGAAACGAAUAAAAUGUGGGGCCUGGACUUGUUGCCUCAAGUGAUCUGGCACUGGCACUUCCAAAUGUAAAGAAAAAGGGCACAAAGACAACUAGAUGAGCACCACAGCCUUAAACGGGUUGAUCUUGCUUUGGAAUUUUUGAUUGAUUCGAGGUUAUUUUUCAACUGAGAUUUGCUUUGGUGA